CCCCGUUGGUGUUAACUUUUGUCAGCUCUUCUUGAGUUGGUUUUUAAUAGGUCUUUUGAUCGUUAAUUUAUUUCUCUUAUUAUAAAUGUAUUUUAUAAAUGGGUACUCUUUUUCUUGUUUAGAUGUUUUAUUCACUGUUUUGAUGAAACUGAACCUUUAAUCUAGGCUUGUGCUUUUGAGGGUUUAAGAGCUUUUUUUUAUUUUUUCUAUUUCCUUCCAUAAAAUCUUAUUUCAUUAGGGUUUAAGGUUUAUGAAGAAAAUCUCUAGUACUUGAUAAUUAUUUAAAAUAGUGAUGAUAGUUUGUGGCUCGACUAACUAAAUAGCUCAAUAAUCAUAAAGGUUUUAUAGUUUUGGCUUUCUUUUUUACUCAAACGUCUUAAGGAUUAAUUUAAAAAUAUUGAUUUUAAUCAUACUGCGUUAAAUCUAUAUUUGGGUAAUCAAUUUGGAAUUAUACUU
This 456-nucleotide long non-coding RNA is filed under the name Salvia miltiorrhiza (redroot sage). Its description in RNAcentral is "long non-coding RNA (SMIL_LNC013647)". Lineage: Eukaryota; Viridiplantae; Streptophyta; Magnoliopsida; Lamiales; Lamiaceae. The record is from RNAcentral.